This is a long non-coding RNA of Phragmites australis (common reed), 1054 nucleotides long. RefSeq lists it as uncharacterized. The record is from RefSeq and is a predicted model, not a curated record. Lineage: Eukaryota; Viridiplantae; Streptophyta; Magnoliopsida; Poales; Poaceae. The transcript is spliced from 6 exons.
GAUCAUCAAUCUCUCUCUCUCUCUCGCCUUCUCCACCCACCGACAUGCGACAACCGAACCAUACGACCCGACUCGACUCGACUCUCCUCUUCCGAGCCACGGCGCCAGCGGCACGGAGAAGGCGAGCGGAAGCCGCCGUCGCUGAGGAGCGCGAUUCGUGUCGCCCACCCGCAAGGCAACGCGUUUGCGGUUUGAUGUAAGCUGUAAACUGCGUGAAGUAAUUAUGAACCAGAACCGAACAUGGAGUCUAAGUGACAUUGAUCCCUGCAGAAUGUUCUGGGUAGGGUAAUGGCUAAUGAUACUGGAGUUAUGCCUUGAGGACUAUCCUUGGUGUGGUUUGGAGUUGGAGAUAUUCCAAACAUUCUGGGUGUAAAAUUGUAUAUAAUCACAUCAUUUGGAGUAUUUUCCUGCUUCCAGAAGUGGCAUGAUUCUGCCAAAUUUGCAGCUUCAACAGGAUGCAGCACUUUUCUGGACGUACUGUGUUCAAUGACAGAAUGAAGGCCUUCAAAGCAGUCGCCCGGACUUGUUUGGUUUGAGGGUUCUACACCAACAUCUUCCAUUCUUUUAUUGAGAACGCUACAUUUUACAUUCUUCAUAACUAAUCUUCUACAGUAAGCAUCCUAUGUGGUCAUGUCUUUUUUUUUUCAAACCCAUUGCUAUCCCUUAAAAACAUGAAAACCCUUCAUUUCUAUCAUGCGUAUUAACAGUAUGUGAACCAUCUGGGACAAGUAAUGACUGAUGAAUGGUCGCAGGCUUGCAGCUGUGCCAUGAUUCUUUUAGCUGUGCUAACAUGAAAUUGACGUCCAUAGCUGUGUAGAAUCUCAAUCACUGCGGACAUAGGCUUUCGGAGACGAACGUGGAAGAUUGAGCUGCACGGUGGCAUGAUCCCUUUUUAAUUUUUCUACCACAACAACGUAGAUUCCCAUCUAGAUUCUUUAGCUCGUAUUCUUCCUAUAUGACGAUUGCAUGAUUUCGGCAUACGCCAAAUUUUGCAGACUUAACUCAUUUUUGUAUAGGUAUGUUAAUUAAUGACGUGGCCUUUUCUGGGGCGAAA